GGGAGCGCCCGACUGUGCCUCCAUCCCGCUCCCCACAGCUCCAGCCUUGGCUCCCAGGGAGCGGCCGGCUGCGCUGCGCUCUGGACCCGGACCCAGCUUGGGGUACGGCCGGGGGCCCAGGAGACCCGACCCGCGCCCCGUGAUGGGCCCGGCGCAGGCGACCAAGACCGCACCCCGCGAGGGGCCCAGCAUAAGCGGCCCCGCCUGGCUCCGGCCCAGCAGCCUUCGGAGGGAAAGUUAUUGCUCAACCCUGAGGAAUGUGGAGCCAAAGCGGCGGCGGGAGGAAGCGGCGGGAGAUUACAGCGGCCGGGCAGGACCGCGCAGGGGCGGCGCGCUGCAGACUUCGCCCUAAUGUAAACAGCAGCUCGGGCCUGGGAAGCGGGGCCCGCCGAAGGCCCCAGUCCCGGCCCCCGGCCUGGGAGUGACAACCGCGAGGCCAGGCCGUGCAGCGAAGGCUGGGAAGGUCAACCCUAGGCUUCCUGCCUGCCGGGGCCGAUUUGGGAACAGCAGCAGAGGCAGGCCCAGCGUGGGAGGCACGAACCUCUGGCCGAAAACCCCCAGCCGGCAGGGAUUCUUGUGUGUUUUGUUCAUGGUCAGUCCGUGAGCCUGAACGGUGCCUUUUACAUAAAAGAAGACAAAAGGAGGGAGAAAAAUAUUUUCCAACUGGCAGUGCUGACAGCAUUUUGGAAGAGAAUCCAAGGAGGCAAAGAGAAGCUGUUUCAGCCUGAUUCUCCCUACUCCAGCACACUCUGCCACCCUGGCCUCCACCCUAAAUGGGAUAGAUCAGAUCAGAGCUUUUUACAGAAGAGGCGAAUGGAGCAUCCUCACAGGAAACCCCACCCAGAGUUUGUACUAGCUUUGUCCUUUCUGGCUCUCCCAGAGGACUGGCCCCCGAGCCACGGAGUCAUGGAUUCCAGCUAUAGGCUGACUCUGGUGUUAAUUAGAAGAACAGAGACACCUGGCAAAUCAAAAGCUAGCACUCCCUGCCUGGGAAACAUUAAGGAAAAACAGCCCAAGUGGCAGUGCCUCUCUUGGAAUUCCUCUUUUCUCGAAUCUCUCCUCUCCUCACACAAGGAGGAGAAGGGGAACUGGUUCUUGCUCAAAAUGGCCUCCAGCUCAGUUCUUAAUAUACUGUGGCACCGCGAAGGGAAAUUCCUAGAAUGAGCCAGUCUGGCCAUGUGUACAGUGGUUUCAACCGGGGAUGCUGCUGUCAGCCUGCUUGGGUUCAAAUCUUGGCUCUACCAUUUACUACUUGUUUGACAGGGACAAGUCACUUAGCCUUUCUGUGCCUUACUUCCCUCAACUGAAAAAUGGAAUAAUAAAAAUAAUAAAAGUU
Molecule: long non-coding RNA, 1336 nt
Organism: Choloepus didactylus (southern two-toed sloth)
Lineage: Eukaryota; Metazoa; Chordata; Mammalia; Pilosa; Megalonychidae
Exons: 2
Source: RefSeq, a predicted model, not a curated record